Grus americana (Whooping crane) is the source of this 2019-nucleotide long non-coding RNA. RefSeq lists it as uncharacterized. NCBI's taxonomy places the organism in Eukaryota, Metazoa, Chordata, Aves, Gruiformes, Gruidae. The record is from RefSeq and is a predicted model, not a curated record. The transcript is spliced from 2 exons.
GAGAACUAACACUUAAAGGAAAUGGCAGGAUCAUUAACUAGCUUAAGCCACAUAUCUAGUAAUCUUAACCCUUACGUAAGAUGUUUUAACAAGAACUAGCGUAAGGAAGGGUCAAGAUGACCCUUCGCUCUGCUUGCAUUUUUGUAACCAAUCACAAGAUAAGGAGGUAGUAAAUCAGAAGGGAUUGAACACGGAGGAUUCUCUGCUAAUUAGGAACCGGUCUGAGUAAGUUUUGUGGUGAAGGUGAAAAGUGCACAGUGAGGAAGACAUACGGCCUUCAUCCCUGAGACCCCGGCCCACGACCACCAAGAGGCAGUGCGCGUGUGCAGCUGAGAGGAGUUAAAGGCGGAGACAAUGGAAAUGAACUCAUUGUAAUAAGACCACCUUUCCACGGAAAGAUCAUGAAUAUGUAUAGGUGCUUUUUGAAUAUGUAACAUUCUAUCCUAUAAAACUCAAAGGGAAGUGCUGCAAGGCGCGCACGAUUUUGGUGGGACGACCCCCCGUGCUGCCCAGCGCUGAAUAAACAUACCUACUUUACAACUUCACAGGUUGUGGAGUCUGUUUUCCGCGCGUCAUUUUGGCGAGCCAGGCAGGAGACACUCUGCUCGGCUGCGGGAUCGACUGCGGAGCGGACGCUCCUAGGCGCGCCCCGAGCACUUUUCUCGGAGGAGCCUCCACUUCCAGCCGCUCACCACGGGAGUAGACAACGACCUCCUGAAGUUGCGGAUAAACGUCUCUUACAGAAAAGACCCUGGAACCACAAUGGGAAGGACCGUUCCAGGUACUCCUCACAUCCUUCACAGCAAUAAAGAUUAAGGAGCAGAAUGCCUGGAUUCACCACUCCCGUGUGAAGAAGGCACCUAAAUCUCCAUGGAGAGUCACGCAAGUACAGCAAGGAAAGCUUACCUUGUCACGACGCUGAUUGUAAGCCUAAUAGGGGGACUUGAGGCAUGGGAGAAUAAUGCCUUUUUGCAGCUACAUGACAAAAUUGCUAAUGCCAUGAACUGGUCUGAUUGCUGGAUUUGCUUUUUGCUAAAGAAGGAGGUUUAUGUACGGUUAUUGGUGAACAUUGCUGUACCUAUGUUAACCAAGACAAAAGGAUUGAAAAGGAUUUAUCUCAAAUUUGGGAAAAAACCAAAAUCUUGCAUGAAGUGGCCCAAGAUAACACAUCUUGGGGGUUUAGUGACUUAGUGGAAAGAUUAACAUCCUGGUUACCGAAUUUGACAUGGUUGAAACAAUUGUUUGUUACGACAAUUACGGUUAUGAUUCUGCUUAUAGCUCUGUGUGUAGUAGUUCGAUGUGCUUUAGGGUGUUGUCAAAACACGGGGAAUUCUUACAGCGAAUGGAAGAAAUAUCAACUAAGGCAAAGGUUAGAAUCAAAUAAAUAUUUUGAGAAAGUAUUAGAUAAAGAGUCAUUGUAUUAGCUGUAGUAAAAGAAUUUACUAACCUUUUUGAAAAAGGGGGGAUUGAUAGAGAGAACUAACACUUAAAGGAAAUGGCAGGAUCAUUAACUAGCUUAAGCCACAUAUCUAGUAAUCUUAACCCUUACGUAAGAUGUUUUAACAAGAACUAGCGUAAGGAAGGGUCAAGAUGACCCUUCGCUCUGCUUGCAUUUUUGUAACCAAUCACAAGAUAAGGAGGUAGUAAAUCAGAAGGGAUUGAACACGGAGGAUUCUCUGCUAAUUAGGAACCGGUCUGAGUAAGUUUUGUGGUGAAGGUGAAAAGUGCACAGUGAGGAAGACAUACGGCCUUCAUCCCUGAGACCCCGGCCCACGACCACCAAGAGGCAGUGCGCGUGUGCAGCUGAGAGGAGUUAAAGGCGGAGACAAUGGAAAUGAACUCAUUGUAAUAAGACCACCUUUCCACGGAAAGAUCAUGAAUAUGUAUAGGUGCUUUUUGAAUAUGUAACAUUCUAUCCUAUAAAACUCAAAGGGAAGUGCUGCAAGGCGCGCACGAUUUUGGUGGGACGACCCCCCGUGCUGCCCAGCGCUGAAUAAACAUACCUACUUUACAACUUCA